GAUGAACGCUGGCGGCGUGCCUAAUACAUGCAAGUCGAGCGAACAGACGAGGAGCUUGCUCCUCUGACGUUAGCGGCGGACGGGUGAGUAACACGUGGAUAACCUACCUAUAAGACUGGGAUAACUUCGGGAAACCGGAGCUAAUACCGGAUAAUAUAUUGAACCGCAUGGUUCAAUAGUGAAAGACGGUUUUGCUGUCACUUAUAGAUGGAUCCGCGCCGCAUUAGCUAGUUGGUAAGGUAACGGCUUACCAAGGCAACGAUGCGUAGCCGACCUGAGAGGGUGAUCGGCCACACUGGAACUGAGACACGGUCCAGACUCCUACGGGAGGCAGCAGUAGGGAAUCUUGCGCAAAGGGCGAAAGCCUGACGGAGCAACGCCGCGUGAGUGAUGAAGGUCUUCGGAUCGUAAAACUCUGCUAUUAGGGAAGAACAAAUGUGUAAGUAACUAUGCACGUCUUGACGGUACCUAAUCAGAAAGCCACGGCUAACUACGUG
This 497-nucleotide ribosomal RNA is filed under the name uncultured bacterium. RNAcentral's name for it is "partial 16S ribosomal RNA". It matches the Rfam family "Bacterial small subunit ribosomal RNA", at positions 28 to 507 of the family's 1533-position model. The record is from RNAcentral.